RNAcentral lists this transfer RNA (75 nucleotides) under Acidobacteriota bacterium. RNAcentral describes it as "Acidobacteria bacterium (activated sludge metagenome) tRNA-Lys". It matches the Rfam family "tRNA". Rfam says of the family: Transfer RNA (tRNA) molecules are approximately 80 nucleotides in length. Their secondary structure includes four short double-helical elements and three loops (D, anti-codon, and T loops). Lineage: Bacteria; Pseudomonadati; Acidobacteriota. The record is from RNAcentral.
CGGUCGGUAGCCAAGUCCGGUUAAGGCACUCGCCUUUUAAGCGAGGUAUCGUGGGUUCGAAUCCCACCCGAUCGG